This 581-nucleotide ribosomal RNA is filed under the name uncultured bacterium. RNAcentral describes it as "partial 16S ribosomal RNA". It matches the Rfam family "Bacterial small subunit ribosomal RNA", at positions 355 to 932 of the family's 1533-position model. The record is from RNAcentral.
UGGGGAAUUUUGGACAAUGGGCGAAAGCCUGAUCCAGCAAUGCCGCGUGUGUGAAGAAGGCCUUCGGGUUGUAAAGCACUUUUGUCCGGAAAGAAAUCCUUGGCUCUAAUACAGUCGGGGGAUGACGGUACCGGAAGAAUAAGCACCGGCUAACUACGUGCCAGCAGCCGCGGUAAUACGUAGGGUGCAAGCGUUAAUCGGAAUUACUGGGCGUAAAGCGUGCGCAGGCGGUUUGCUAAGACCGAUGUGAAAUCCCCGGGCUCAACCUGGGAACUGCAUUGGUGACUGGCAGGCUAGAGUAUGGCAGAGGGGGGUAGAAUUCCACGUGUAGCAGUGAAAUGCGUAGAGAUGUGGAGGAAUACCGAUGGCGAAGGCAGCCCCCUGGGCCAAUACUGACGCUCAUGCACGAAAGCGUGGGGAGCAAACAGGAUUAGAUACCCUGGUAGUCCACGCCCUAAAACGAUGGUCAACUAGUUGUUGGGGAUUCAUUUCCUUAGUAACGUAGCUAACGCGUGAAGUUGACCGCCUGGGGAGUACGGUCGCAAGAUUAAAACUCAAAUGAAUUGACGGGGUCAUAGCUG